CCAAACUUGGUCAUUUAGAGGAAGUAAAAGUCGUAACAAGGUUUCCGUAGGUGAACCUGCGGAAGGAUCAUCACUGAGAUCGGGGCGUGCGGCAGCAGGAGUGCGUAGAGGUGUGGUGUUACCACACACUGCGCUCUAUCUGCUUUGCUGCGCCCCCAACCAAUCUUGUGUGCACUGUUUUUAUCUCUUCCACAAAGUCAAGGAGACAUUAUUACCCCCGCGACACGCGUGGCAGCCUGUGUUGUGUGUUGGCAAGUAGCGCGUAUGCGCGCCGCUUGCCAACCACACACGCGCGCCAUGUCGUGUUGUGGCGCGCGGGUGUGGUGUUCUUUCUUGUUCUAUGUGUGUAAUCUCUUGUGUAAAUUACUGUCUAACGUUAUAUACAUAACUAACAUGAACACAACUUUCAACAAUGGAUCUCUUGGCUCUCGCAUCGAUGAAGAACGCAGC
RNAcentral lists this unclassified non-coding RNA (450 nucleotides) under uncultured fungus. RNAcentral's name for it is "partial contains small subunit ribosomal RNA, internal transcribed spacer 1, and 5.8S ribosomal RNA". The stretch from base 1 to 73 matches the Rfam family "Eukaryotic small subunit ribosomal RNA", at positions 1759 to 1831 of the family's 1831-position model. Lineage: Eukaryota; Fungi. The record is from RNAcentral.